CGACUCUCUGGUCUGUCACUGACACUGAGGUGCGAAAGCGUGGGUAGCAAACAGGAUUAGAUACCCUGGUAGUCCACGCCGUAAACGAUGACUGCUAGCCGUUGGGAGCCUCGAGCCCUUAAUGGCUCAGUUAACGCGAUAAGUCGACCGCCUGGGGAGUACGGCCGCAAGGUUAAAACUUCAAUGAAUUGACGGGGG
This 198-nucleotide ribosomal RNA is filed under the name Halomonas urumqiensis. RNAcentral's name for it is "partial 16S ribosomal RNA". It matches the Rfam family "Bacterial small subunit ribosomal RNA", at positions 722 to 919 of the family's 1533-position model. Lineage: Bacteria; Pseudomonadati; Pseudomonadota; Gammaproteobacteria; Oceanospirillales; Halomonadaceae. The record is from RNAcentral.